RNAcentral lists this ribosomal RNA (911 nucleotides) under uncultured bacterium. RNAcentral describes it as "bacterial SSU rRNA". It matches the Rfam family "Bacterial small subunit ribosomal RNA", at positions 538 to 1448 of the family's 1533-position model. The record is from RNAcentral.
GUGACGUACGGAUUAUUGGGCGUAAGAGCUCGUAGGCGGUUUGUCGCGUCUGCCGUGAAAGUCCGGGGCUCAACUCCGGAUCUGCGGUGGGUACGGGCAGACUAGAGUGAUGUAGGGGAGACUGGAAUUCCUGGUGUAGCGGUGAAAUGCGCAGAUAUCAGGAGGAACACCGAUGGCGAAGGCAGGUCUCUGGGCAUUAACUGACGCUGAGGAGCGAAAGCAUGGGGAGCGAACAGGAUUAGAUACCCUGGUAGUCCAUGCCGUAAACGUUGGGCACUAGGUGUGGGGGACAUUCCACGUUUUCCGCGCCGUAGCUAACGCAUUAAGUGCCCCGCCUGGGGAGUACGGCCGCAAGGCUAAAACUCAAAGGAAUUGACGGGGGCCCGCACAAGCGGCGGAGCAUGCGGAUUAAUUCGAUGCAACGCGAAGAACCUUACCAAGGCUUGACAUGAACCGGUAAGACCUGGAAACAGGUCCCCCACUUGUGGCCGGUUUACAGGUGGUGCAUGGUUGUCGUCAGCUCGUGUCGUGAGAUGUUGGGUUAAGUCCCGCAACGAGCGCAACCCUCGUUCCAUGUUGCCAGCGCGUUAUGGCGGGGACUCAUGGGAGACUGCCGGGGUCAACUCGGAGGAAGGUGGGGACGACGUCAAAUCAUCAUGCCCCUUAUGUCUUGGGCUUCACGCAUGCUACAAUGGCCGGUACAAAGGGUUGCGAUACUGUGAGGUGGAGCUAAUCCCAAAAAGCCGGUCUCAGUUCGGAUUGGGGUCUGCAACUCGACCCCAUGAAGUCGGAGUCGCUAGUAAUCGCAGAUCAGCAACGCUGCGGUGAAUACGUUCCCGGGCCUUGUACACACCGCCCGUCAAGUCACGAAAGUUGGUAACACCCGAAGCCGGUGGGCCUAACCCUUGUGG